Molecule: long non-coding RNA, 396 nt
Filed under: Bos taurus (domestic cattle)
Lineage: Eukaryota; Metazoa; Chordata; Mammalia; Artiodactyla; Bovidae
Description: long non-coding RNA NONBTAT019338
Source: RNAcentral
UAUUAAAUUAAUAUGCAUUAUGCAUUAUCUCAUAAUUUAAAAAUGGAAUAAAGGUAAUUUUCCCUGGAAGAGCAAAAUGAAAUAUAAUGGGUGAAAAAACUCACUCCUUUGUUUUAUAGAAAGAACAUAAUAAGGUGUUUUGUUGUCUGAUUUUUCAAAGAGCACAUUUCCAUAUGAGUGAACAGAGAGGAAAGGAUUACUACAUGAUUGGUAUAAGGGAUUAGUAUUAGUAUACAAGGUGAAGUCUAUUUUAAAAUGCUUCUAGUUAAUAAACACAUAAUUGAACAAGUAAUUCUUGAGUUUUAAAAAUUUGAUGUUGCAAAGGAAUACAUAUAUUUCUUUAUGCUAAUUGUAUAUGUGCAUUUUUAUUUUAAAUAUCUUAGUUUGAAGCUAUUG